Molecule: long non-coding RNA, 547 nt
Filed under: Trifolium pratense (red clover)
Lineage: Eukaryota; Viridiplantae; Streptophyta; Magnoliopsida; Fabales; Fabaceae
Description: long non-coding RNA (TPRA_LNC010897)
Source: RNAcentral
ACAACAUAGUCCUAUGUAGCAUGAGUGUAUGGGGAAAAAUCCCUUACCUUAGUCGAUUUCCUUCCAAGCACAAUACUAGCCUAAAUUCGCAGCUACAGUGCACACGCUAUAUCACUCGUUCCAGAGUUCGUUUUGACAAUCCGACGGUUGAAAACGAAGAAUCACGUGUCACAACCCCAACAAAUUUGUUUAACGAGAAUGAGACUAAAAGAACUUGAUGACCACUUGAGUUGAUGAGUGUGUGGGCAUUGCAAGAGAAACAAAAUAAGGUCUUUGCUUGUUUUUGAUUUAGGCGUGCAAGCUUUUGGUAUGGUUUACUGUGAAUUUGAAAAUGGAGCUGUAAUAGCUAGAAGAAUGAAAAACAUGGUAUACUUAACUAAACAAAUUGUAGUUAAAAUGGUGAUAAAUUUGAAGGCACAAAUGUAUAGUAUAUAAAGGCACAAAUUGGACUAUGGUAGGGGAAGGGAACAGGGCUAGCGAACAAAUAUUGUUGUCGUGUAUAAUAAUGAUGGUUGAAGGGGGUUUGGUUUAUAAGGAGAAAGGGUGU